GAUGAACGCUAGCGGCAGGCCUAAUACAUGCAAGUCGAACGCUCAGUAGCAAUACUGGGAGUGGCGCACGGGUGCGUAACGCGUACACAAUCUACCUCUAAGCGGGGGACACCUCCUGGAAACGGGGAUUAAUACCGCAUAAUAUGCCGAAGUCGCAUGACUUUGGUAUUAAAGCAGCAAUGCACUUAGAGAUGAGUGUGCGUCCCAUUAGGUAGUUGGUGAGGUAACGGCUCACCAAGCCUAUGAUGGGUAGCCGGUCUGAGAGGAUGGUCGGCCACACGGGCACUGAGACACGGGCCCGACUCCUACGGGAGGCAGCAGUAAGGAAUAUUGGUCAAUGGUGGAAACACUGAACCAGCCAUGCCGCGUGGAGGAAUAAGGUCCUACGGAUUGUAAACUCCUUUUGACGAGGAAGAAAAUGUUAGAUUUAUCUAAUUUUGACGGUACUCGUAGAAUAAGCAACCGGCUAAACUCCGUGCCAGCAGCCGCGGUAAU
Molecule: ribosomal RNA, 495 nt
Filed under: uncultured bacterium
Lineage: Bacteria
Description: bacterial SSU rRNA
Rfam family: Bacterial small subunit ribosomal RNA
Source: RNAcentral